This 254-nucleotide ribosomal RNA is filed under the name uncultured bacterium. RNAcentral describes it as "partial 16S ribosomal RNA". It matches the Rfam family "Bacterial small subunit ribosomal RNA", at positions 524 to 776 of the family's 1533-position model. RNAcentral also lists the same sequence under 1 other name. The record is from RNAcentral.
UACGUAGGGGGCGAGCGUUGUCCGGAUUUAUUGGGCGUAAAGAGCUCGUAGGCGGCUUAGCAAGUCGGGUGUGAAAACUCCAGGCUCAACCUGGAGACGCCACUCGAGACUGCUAUGGCUAGAGUCCGGUAGGGGACCACGGAAUUCCUGGUGUAGCGGUGAAAUGCGCAGAUAUCAGGAGGAACACCGGUGGCGAAGGCGGUGGUCUGGGCCGGCACUGACGCUGAGGAGCGAAAGCGUGGGGAGCAAACAGG